RNAcentral lists this ribosomal RNA (985 nucleotides) under uncultured bacterium. RNAcentral describes it as "bacterial SSU rRNA". It matches the Rfam family "Bacterial small subunit ribosomal RNA", at positions 8 to 1010 of the family's 1533-position model. The record is from RNAcentral.
AGAGUUUGAUCCUGGCUCAGGACGAACGCUGGCGGCGUGCUUAACACAUGCAAGUCGAGCGGAAAGGCCCUUCGGGGUACUCGAGCGGCGAACGGGUGAGUAACACGUGAGCAACCUGCCCUUAGCUCCGGGAUAGCUCCGGGAAACCGGAAUUAAUACCGGAUACGACCACGGCCGACAUCGGCUGUGGUGGAAAGGAUUCCGGCUAAGGAUGGGCUCGCGGCCUAUCAGCUAGUUGGUGGGGUAACGGCCUACCAAGGCGACGACGGGUAGCCGGCCUGAGAGGGCGACCGGCCACACUGGGACUGAGACACGGCCCAGACUCCUACGGGAGGCAGCAGUGGGGAAUAUUGCGCAAUGGGCGAAAGCCUGACGCAGCGACGCCGCGUGGGGGAUGAAGGCCUUCGGGUUGUAAACCCCUUUCAGCAGGGACGAAGCGCAAGUGACGGUACCUGCAGAAGAAGCGCCGGCUAACUACGUGCCAGCAGCCGCGGUAAUACGUAGGGCGCAAGCGUUGUCCGGAAUUAUUGGGCGUAAAGAGCUCGUAGGCGGUCUGUUGCGUCCGCUGUGAAAACCCAGGGCUUAACCCUGGGCUUGCAGUGGAUACGGGCAGACUAGAGGCAGGUAGGGGAGAAUGGAAUUCCCGGUGUAGCGGUGAAAUGCGCAGAUAUCGGGAGGAACACCGGUGGCGAAGGCGGUUCUCUGGGCCUGUACUGACGCUGAGGAGCGAAAGCGUGGGGAGCGAACAGGAUUAGAUACCCUGGUAGUCCACGCCGUAAACGUUGGGCGCUAGGUGUGGGGUCCUUCCACGGUUUCCGUGCCGCAGCUAACGCAUUAAGCGCCCCGCCUGGGGAGUACGGCCGCAAGGCUAAAACUCAAAGGAAUUGACGGGGCCCGCACAAGCGGCGGAGCAUGUUGCUUAAUUCGACGCAACGCGAAGAACCUUACCAAGGCUUGACAUGCAGGGAAAAGCCGUAGAGACCCG